This is a long non-coding RNA of Helianthus annuus (common sunflower), 404 nucleotides long. RefSeq lists it as uncharacterized. The transcript is spliced from 3 exons. The record is from RefSeq and is a predicted model, not a curated record. Lineage: Eukaryota; Viridiplantae; Streptophyta; Magnoliopsida; Asterales; Asteraceae.
ACACAUCAGGUAUGUGUGUGUGUUCGACGCCCAGAGCCAGAGAAGAAGGGGAAACCCUUCUAACCACAAAAAUCCAGCCAAUUGAAGCCCUAAUCGUGACUGAAUCUCAUGCAUGUCAAUGAUUUCUUGAUCAUCUAGGCCUAUUAAAGCUUAAGGAUGAAUAACAUAUCUACGGACUCAAGCACGGAGGCUAACGGGUCGAAAGUAAACAUGGAACCUAUGCUUGAACUUGGUCGCUCAAGGUACCACACGGAUUCCUUCUACUACUAACGAAGCUGAGCGGACGUAGAUCGAGUCAAGAGCAAGGGUUGUACGGAAAGAACGGUCAAAUAGUUCGAAAUAUGUAUUGCUUUGAAGCGUCAAUACAAUGUGAAUAUUGUAAAUCCCUUCCAGUAAAUGUUUAA